CAGUCGCCACGGUAAUACGUAGGUCCCGAGCGUUGUCCGGAUUUAUUGGGCGUAAAGCGAGCGCAGGCGGUUAGAUAAGUCUGAAGUUAAAGGCUGUGGCUUAACCAUAGUACGCUUUGGAAACUGUUUAACUUGAGUGCAAGAGGGGAGAGUGGAAUCCCAUGUGUAGCGGUGAAAUGCGUAGAUAUAUGGAGGAACACCGGUGGCGAAAGCGGCUCUCUGGCUUGUAACUGACGCUGAGGCUCGAAAGCGUGGGGAGCAAACAGGAUUAGAUACCCCGGUAGUCCCUGUCUCUUAUACC
This 301-nucleotide ribosomal RNA is filed under the name uncultured bacterium. RNAcentral's name for it is "partial 16S ribosomal RNA". It matches the Rfam family "Bacterial small subunit ribosomal RNA", at positions 509 to 808 of the family's 1533-position model. The record is from RNAcentral.